CGCGUAGGCGGAGAUGUAAGUCAGAUGUGAAAGCCCGAAGCUCAACUUCGGAAUAGCAUCCGAAACUACACCUCUCGAGGAUAGGCGGAGAAGGCGGAAUUCCACGUGUAGCGGUGAAAUGCGUAGAUAUGUGGAAGAACACCGGUGGCGAAGGCGGCCUUCUAGCCUACUCCUGACGCUGAGGCGCGAAAGCAAGGGGAGCGAACA
RNAcentral lists this ribosomal RNA (207 nucleotides) under uncultured bacterium. RNAcentral's name for it is "partial 16S ribosomal RNA". It matches the Rfam family "Bacterial small subunit ribosomal RNA", at positions 568 to 774 of the family's 1533-position model. The record is from RNAcentral.